RNAcentral lists this ribosomal RNA (400 nucleotides) under uncultured bacterium. Its description in RNAcentral is "bacterial SSU rRNA". It matches the Rfam family "Bacterial small subunit ribosomal RNA", at positions 355 to 768 of the family's 1533-position model. The record is from RNAcentral.
UGAGGAAUUUUCCACAAUGGGCGAAAGCCUGAUGGAGCAAUACCGCGUGGAGGAAGACGGACCGUGGUUCUUAAACUCCUUUUCCUAGAGAAGAAAAAAAUGACGGUAUCUAGGGAAUAAGCACCGGCUAACUAUGUGCCAGCAGCCGCGGUAAUACAUAGGGUGCAAGCGUUAUCCGGAAUGAUUGGGCGUAAAGCGUCUGUAGGUGGUCUGAAAAGUCUAUUGUCAAAUACGUUGGCUCAACCAACGGCAGGCAUUAGAGUACUAUUGGACUAGAGUUUGGUAGAGGUAGAGGGAAUCCCUAGCGUAACAGUGAAAUGUGUAGAUUUUAGGGGGAACACCAGAGGCGAAGGCGCUCUACUGGGCCAUAACUGACACUGAGAGACGAAAGCUAAGGGAG